This 247-nucleotide ribosomal RNA is filed under the name uncultured bacterium. RNAcentral's name for it is "partial 16S ribosomal RNA". It matches the Rfam family "Bacterial small subunit ribosomal RNA", at positions 523 to 769 of the family's 1533-position model. The record is from RNAcentral.
AUACGUAGGGGGCAAGCGUUAUCCGGAUUUACUGGGUGUAAAGGGAGCGUAGACGGCGAUGCAAGUCUGAAGUGAAAGCCCGGGGCUCAACCCUGGAACUGUUUUGGAAACUGUGUUGCUAGAGUGCAGGAGAGGUAAGUGGAAUUCCUAGUGUAGCGGUGAAAUGCGUAGAUAUUAGGAGGAACACCAGUGGCGAAGGCGGCUUACUGGACUGUAACUGACGUUGAGGCUCGAAAGCGUGGGGAGC